This 403-nucleotide ribosomal RNA is filed under the name uncultured bacterium. RNAcentral's name for it is "bacterial SSU rRNA". It matches the Rfam family "Bacterial small subunit ribosomal RNA", at positions 355 to 775 of the family's 1533-position model. The record is from RNAcentral.
UAGGGAAUAUUAGAAAUGGACGAAAGUCUGAUCUAGCAACACCGCGUGUGCGAAGAAGGCCUUCGGGUCGUAAAGCACUUUUUGGAGGGAAUAGGAAGGAUUGUACUUCCAGAAUAAGUCUCGGCUAACUACGUGCCAGCAGCCGCGGUAACACGUAGGAGGCGAACGUUAUCCGGAUUUACUGGGCGUAAAGCGCGUGUAGGUGGUACUGUAAGUAGGGCGUGAAAGCUCCUGGCUCAACUGGGAGAGGCCGUUCUAAACUACAGAACUAGAGGAUGGUAGAGGGAGGUGGAAUUCCAGGUGUAGCGGUGGAAUGCGCAGAUAUCUGGAGGAACACCGGUGGCGAAGGCGGCCUCCUGGACCAUUCCUGACACUCAGACGCGAAAGCUAGGUUAGCAAACCG